This is a non-coding RNA of Phalacrocorax carbo (great cormorant), 2038 nucleotides long. Lineage: Eukaryota; Metazoa; Chordata; Aves; Suliformes; Phalacrocoracidae. The record is from RefSeq and is a predicted model, not a curated record.
UCGCCUCGCCUCGCCUCAGCCGCCGCCCGGCCCUGGUGCUGACCGCGGCCCUGGUCCGUCCCGCCCGCGGUGGCGGCUCCCCGCAGCUGCCGGCCCGCUCUCCCGGCCUCAUUUGAGUGAUAAUUCAAACCACUGAAGCUGUAUAAUUUUUGUUAUUUUAAGUUGCAAGCCACCCUGGAAUCUCUCCACUGCAGAAGAGAGCAAGCUGUGUUGGAAAGAGCUGCUGCCAUGAGGAGCAUUGGGAUGCAGCUGAGGCAUUGAGCUGCAGGUGCAGAGCCUUGCUGGGGCCUGUGUUCGAUUGCCUUUUGCACGGUGUUAGCCACAUCAUUCCCAGUAAGAGAGACUGACGUGCUUUGGUCACAGUAACUCCACGUGCCACCUAGACUUGCAACACAAGUAAGCUGGACUUUGCACAGGAGGGAAAAAGCCUGACAUUCCUGAAAAUGGCAGCAGAGACAUCCACAGAAGUUCCAAAACCUACUAGACAGUUCGUCCUUAAAGAACAGGUAAUUGCAGAAAGAAAAUGGUUGAAGCUUGAAGAAACAACUUAUACUGAUGCCUUUGGUAAAACCAGAACUUGGGAAACAGUAAAGCGUACUGGCAACAAAAAGGGCAUUUCAGCUGAUGGUGUAGCAGUGAUAGCUGUGCUACAGAGGACUCUCCACUACGACUGUGUUGUCCUAGUGAAACAGUUCAGGCCCCCAAUUAACGGCUAUUGCUUGGAAUUUCCUGCAGGCCUCAUUGAAGAAAAUGAGACUGCGGAAAGUGCAGCAUUGCGAGAGUUGGAAGAAGAAACUGGGUACAAGGGCGAAGUCGUUGAAUGUACUCCAGCUCUCUGCUUGGACCCAGGCCUGUCAAACAGCACAACACACAUCGUGAGCGUCACCAUUAAUGGUGAUGAGGCUGAGAAUACAAGACCUAAGCAAAAACUCGAUGAUGGAGGUACGUUACGUAGCUGUGCUCACAGGGACAGUAAGGUCCAGUGUGAUCUUCAUAUGGCGGGUUUUGCUUAGAAAAUGUCAGUUAAAAAUGGUUAUUUGGCUUCGUUAAUCUCCUGACCAUAAUCAAACAUGCAUGAGAUUGGCUUUGGGCCUAGACAUGGGGCACUAUUCACUCAAGUAUUGCUCCUAUAGCACCAGUAUCGCAGGAAAUACAAAUUACUGGAUCCACAACAGCCCCAAAGACAACCAGUUCAGACAGGCCGGGGAGGUGUAAGUCAACACAAAUUCAUCAAGCACAAACCCUUUGCCUUUGUGCUGGUUUGCUCUUCAAAUGCAUCCGCAAUCCAUUACUGUACCGGUAUAAGCCAAACCCAAGCCCACUGCAACAGUAGGUUUUCCAUUCUCAGAAGGGAGAAGGUCUCAUUUUAGAAGGAUUCUCAUCCUCCGUAGCUCUCAGCUACACUGUUUUUUCCAGUUGCUUUCUGCCAAACCUGUUUUUUAAUGACCCCAGUCACUGCCUUCCCUCCUUUAAUCGAUUUUUCUGUGAUACAUGAGGGCUCACGGCUUUUGGAUGCUGAUGAGCAUUAAGCCAGUUUGUUUCCCCUUCGAAGUUGUAAGAAACAGGACGCCAAGGUAGACUUUGCUACUGUUCACUAAAUUAAAGGUGCAUACAAUUUUUUUUUCUUCUCUCCUAGAAUUUGUGGAAGUUAUUUCACUUCCAAAGAAUGACCUACUGCAAAGAAUUGAUGAACUAGUAGCCGAAGAACAUAUUGCAGUGGAUGCCAGGGUUUAUACUUACGCCUUGGCCCUGAAGCGUGCAGCGGAAAAACCGCUCCAAGUUCCUUUUAUGAAGUUCUAAAACUAGAGGAUAAGAAAUUUUGUUGAAAGCUGCCCAAUUCAGAGGGCUUAGAAGCAUAACUCUUCUUGUAAUAAAGGUCCUUUGCUUUACUCGUAGAGCAAAAAAAAAAAGUAUUUGUAGGAACAAUUCUGGUCUUUUUAUCUGUAAUUAAUGUAACUGACAAAAAGCAUUUAUUCUCACUGCUCAUGAUAUCAAACCUUGGCAGAAUAAUCAUAAUAAAAAUGCUGUUUAAUUUUCA